RNAcentral lists this ribosomal RNA (276 nucleotides) under Staphylococcus aureus. Its description in RNAcentral is "partial 23S ribosomal RNA". It matches the Rfam family "Bacterial large subunit ribosomal RNA", at positions 258 to 529 of the family's 2925-position model. The record is from RNAcentral. Lineage: Bacteria; Bacillati; Bacillota; Bacilli; Caryophanales; Staphylococcaceae.
ACGGGAAGAGCCCAAACCAACAAGCUUGCUUGUUGGGGUUGUAGGACACUCUAUACGGAGUUACAAAGGACGACAUUAGACGAAUCAUCUGGAAAGAUGAAUCAAAGAAGGUAAUAAUCCUGUAGUCGAAAAUGUUGUCUCUCUUGAGUGGAUCCUGAGUACGACGGAGCACGUGAAAUUCCGUCGGAAUCUGGGAGGACCAUCUCCUAAGGCUAAAUACUCUCUAGUGACCGAUAGUGAACCAGUACCGUGAGGGAAAGGUGAAAAGCACCCCGG